RNAcentral lists this ribosomal RNA (619 nucleotides) under uncultured Actinomycetes bacterium. Its description in RNAcentral is "bacterial SSU rRNA". It matches the Rfam family "Bacterial small subunit ribosomal RNA", at positions 556 to 1177 of the family's 1533-position model. Lineage: Bacteria; Bacillati; Actinomycetota; Actinomycetes. The record is from RNAcentral.
GGGCGUAAGAGCUCGUAGGUGGUUCGUUACGUCGGAUGUGAAAAUCUGGGGCUCAACCCCAGACCUGCAUUCGAUACGGGCGAUCUAGAGUGUGGUAGGGGAGACUGGAAUUCCUGGUGUAGCGGUGGAAUGCGCAGAUAUCAGGAGGAACACCAACGGCGAAGGCAGGUCUCUGGGCCAUUACUGACACUGAGGAGCGAAAGCGUGGGGAGCGAACAGGAUUAGAUACCCUGGUAGUCCACGCCGUAAACGGUGGGCACUAGUUGUGGGAACCUUCCACGGUUUCUGCGACGCAGCUAACGCAUUAAGUGCCCCGCCUGGGGAGUACGAUCGCAAGAUUAAAACUCAAAGGAAUUGACGGGGCCCCGCACAAGCAGCGGAGCAUGCGGCUUAAUUCGACGCAACGCGAAGAACCUUACCAAGGCUUGACAUAUACCGGAAUAUGGCAGAGAUGUCAUAGCUGUAAAAGGUCGGUAUACAGGUGGUGCAUGGUUGUCGUCAGCUCGUGUCGUGAGAUGUUGGGUUUAGUCCCGCAACGAGCGCAACCCUCGUUCUGUGUUGCCAGCAUUUAGUUGGGGACUCACAGGAGACUGCCGGGGUCAACUCGGAGGAAGGUAAU